AUACGUAGGGUGCGAGCGUUAAUCGGAAUUACUGGGCGUAAAGCGUGCGCAGGCGGUUUUGUAAGUCAGAUGUGAAAUCCCCGGGCUUAACCUGGGAACUGCGUUUGAAACUGCAAGGCUAGAGUGUGGCAGAGGGGGGUGGAAUUCCGCGUGUAGCAGUGAAAUGCGUAGAGAUGUGGAGGAACACCGAUGGCGAAGGCAGCCCCCUGGGUUAACACUGACGCUCAGGCACGAAAGCAUGGGGAGCAAACAGGAUUAGAAACCCCAGUAGUCC
This 274-nucleotide ribosomal RNA is filed under the name uncultured bacterium. RNAcentral's name for it is "partial 16S ribosomal RNA". It matches the Rfam family "Bacterial small subunit ribosomal RNA", at positions 523 to 796 of the family's 1533-position model. The record is from RNAcentral.